Molecule: transfer RNA, 67 nt
Filed under: Stenamma muralla
Lineage: Eukaryota; Metazoa; Arthropoda; Insecta; Hymenoptera; Formicidae
Description: tRNA-Asp
Source: RNAcentral
AAAGAAUUAGUUAACUAUAACAUUAAAUUGUCAAUUUAAAAUCAUUACUCUAUAAUAAUAUUCUUUU